Long non-coding RNA from Clupea harengus (Atlantic herring), 333 nucleotides. RefSeq lists it as uncharacterized. The transcript has 6 exons. NCBI's taxonomy places the organism in Eukaryota, Metazoa, Chordata, Actinopteri, Clupeiformes, Clupeidae. The record is from RefSeq and is a predicted model, not a curated record.
AGGAGGAUGGAAGCCUAACCCCGACACAACGCAGACAUCCAGCCAGCCCCAACCUGGUGGCGCCACUGUGUGGAAGCAGAGGAAGAGCCCUACUGGAGAAAGCCAUGCACAACAACGAGCGAUGCCACAGCAAUGAUGUUCUGUCCAGCGCGCGGUCCUGGGGGGUGAGGAUCCUUCACGUUGAUGAUUUCAUUUGGUGUCUGGACCUGCUGACUGAACGCUCCAAACAGAAGAGACCUCAGGCAAAAGCAUCUGAAGCUCCUGCCAAACGUGUGGUUAAAGCUGGAGCUCUGAAGACGCCUUUCAUCAAAGUGGAGGACAGCAGCAGGUCAG